GCGCAGACCGCGUCUAAUCCACACGCCACCGGCGCGAGCCGGGGGUGCCAGGAGCCGGGGAACCACGUCCCACCUGGGGUGAAUCGUCCUCGAGAGCAGCCACCGCUGCGGAGGGGACGUAGGGCAUGUCGUUGCCCGAACCCGUCAGCUCACCCGGUAGACGUGACGACAAUGAGGGA
Molecule: small RNA, 179 nt
Filed under: Nocardioides sp.
Lineage: Bacteria; Bacillati; Actinomycetota; Actinomycetes; Propionibacteriales; Nocardioidaceae
Description: c-di-AMP sequence
Rfam family: c-di-AMP riboswitch aptamer (ydaO/yuaA leader)
About the family: This family represents a conserved RNA structure found upstream of the ydaO and yuaA genes in Bacillus subtilis and related genes in other bacteria. The ydaO/yuaA element is thought to act as a genetic "off" switch for the ydaO and yuaA genes in its native state.
Source: RNAcentral